GACGAACGCUGGCGGCGUGCUUAACACAUGCAAGUCGAACGGAAAGGCCCUGCUUUUGUGGGGUGCUCGAGUGGCGAACGGGUGAGUAACACGUGAGUAACCUGCCCUUGACUUUGGGAUAACUUCAGGAAACUGGGGCUAAUACCGGAUAGGAGCUCCAGCUGCAUGGUGGGGGUUGGAAAGUUUCGGCGGUUGGGGAUGGACUCGCGGCUUAUCAGCUUGUUGGUGGGGUAGUGGCUUACCAAGGCUUUGACGGGUAGCCGGCCUGAGAGGGUGACCGGCCACAUUGGGACUGAGAUACGGCCCAGACUCCUACGGGAGGCAGCAGUGGGGAAUAUUGCACAAUGGGCGGAAGCCUGAUGCAGCAACGCCGCGUGCGGGAUGACGGCCUUCGGGUUGUAAACCGCUUUCGCCUGUGACGAAGCGUGAGUGACGGUAAUGGGUAAAGAAGCACCGACUAACUACGUG
This 468-nucleotide ribosomal RNA is filed under the name uncultured bacterium. RNAcentral describes it as "partial 16S ribosomal RNA". It matches the Rfam family "Bacterial small subunit ribosomal RNA", at positions 28 to 507 of the family's 1533-position model. The record is from RNAcentral.